GAGAACCAGCGUGUGGCAGAGGCCUCUCGGAGAGCACUGUUUGGUGCAGCCAGGUUCCUGAAGUGGAGGGACCUUGAGCACUUGGUGACCAUGGAGCAGCCAUGGAGGUUUCCCGAGUGCCUGCUGGAAAAGGACAGGAGCCGAGUGGGCCAGUACGUGCGCCAGGCCCUGCCGUACCUGGAGAGCCCAGAGGAGCCCCUGCGAAAGCUGGCCAUCAAGUUUCUGGGGAUCGCCGCCAGGUCCAUGAAGCAGGAGCAGCCAGAGCUGCAGCUCAUCUGCCAAGGUGAGCGAGGGCACCUUCCAGCUCAUCCCCUUGG
Long non-coding RNA from Chiroxiphia lanceolata (lance-tailed manakin), 317 nucleotides. RefSeq lists it as uncharacterized. The transcript has 4 exons. The record is from RefSeq and is a predicted model, not a curated record. NCBI's taxonomy places the organism in Eukaryota, Metazoa, Chordata, Aves, Passeriformes, Pipridae.